AGAGUUUGAUCAUGGCUCAGGAUGAACGCUGGCGGCGUGCCUAACACAUGCAAGUCGAGCGAUUCUCUUCGGAGAAGAGCGGCGGACGGGUGAGUAACGCGUGGGUAACCUGCCCUGUACACACGGAUAACAUACCGAAAGGUAUGCUAAUACGAGAUAAUAUACUUUUAUCGCAUGGUAGAAGUAUCAAAGCUCCGGCGGUACAGGAUGGACCCGCGUCUGAUUAGCUAGUUGGUAAGGUAACGGCUUACCAAGGCGACGAUCAGUAGCCGACCUGAGAGGGUGAUCGGCCACAUUGGAACUGAGACACGGUCCAAACUCCUACGGGAGGCAGCAGUGGGGAAUAUUGCACAAUGGGCGAAAGCCUGAUGCAGCAACGCCGCGUGAGCGAUGAAGGCCUUCGGGUCGUAAAGCUCUGUCCUCAAGGAAGAUAAUGACGGUACUUGAGGAGGAAGCCCCGGCUAACUACGUGCCAGCAGCCGCGGUAAUACGUAGGGGGCUAGCGUUAUCCGGAAUUACUGGGCGUAAAGGGUGCGUAGGUGGUUUCUUAAGUCAGAGGUGAAAGGCUACGGCUCAACCGUAGUAAGCCUUUGAAACUGGGAAACUUGAGUGCAGGAGAGGAGAGUGGAAUUCCUAGUGUAGCGGUGAAAUGCGUAGAUAUUAGGAGGAACACCAGUUGCGAAGGCGGCUCUCUGGACUGUAACUGACACUGAGGCACGAAAGCGUGGGGAGCAAACAGGAUUAGAUACCCUGGUAGUCCACGCCGUAAACGAUGAGUACUAGCUGUCGGAGGUUACCCCCUUCGGUGGCGCAGCUAACGCAUUAAGUACUCCGCCUGGGAAGUACGCUCGCAAGAGUGAAACUCAAAGGAAUUGACGG
This 879-nucleotide ribosomal RNA is filed under the name uncultured bacterium. RNAcentral's name for it is "bacterial SSU rRNA". It matches the Rfam family "Bacterial small subunit ribosomal RNA", at positions 8 to 916 of the family's 1533-position model. The record is from RNAcentral.